AACGAACGCUGGCGGCAUGCCUAACACAUGCAAGUCGAACGAGACCUUCGGGUCUAGUGGCGCACGGGUGCGUAACGCGUGGGAACCUGCCCUUAGGUUCGGAAUAACUCCCCGAAAGGGGUGCUAAUACCGGAUAAUGUCUUCGGACCAAAGAUUUAUCGCCUUUGGAUGGGCCCGCGUUGGAUUAGCUAGUUGGUAGGGUAAAAGCCUACCAAGGCGACGAUCCAUAGCUGGUCUGAGAGGAUGAUCAGCCACACUGGGACUGAGACACGGCCCAGAAUCCUACGCGAAGCAGCAGUGGGGAAUAGUGGACAAUGGGCGGAAGCCUGAUCCAGCACUGCCGCGUGAGUGAUGAAGGCCUUAGGGUUGUAAAGCUCUUUUACCCGGGAUGAUAAUGACAGUACCGGGAGAAUAAGCUCCGGCUAACUCCGUG
RNAcentral lists this ribosomal RNA (433 nucleotides) under uncultured bacterium. RNAcentral's name for it is "partial 16S ribosomal RNA". It matches the Rfam family "Bacterial small subunit ribosomal RNA", at positions 29 to 507 of the family's 1533-position model. The record is from RNAcentral.